AUUGAACGCUGGCGGCAGGCCUAACACAUGCAAGUCGAACGGUAGCACAGAGAGCUUGCUCUUGGGUGACGAGUGGCGGACGGGUGAGUAAUGGCUGGGAAACUGCCCGAUGGAGGGGGAUAACUAAUGGAAACGGUAGCUAAUACCGCAUAACGUCGCAAGACCAAAGUGGGGGACCUUCGGGCCUCACACCAUCGGAAGUGCCCAGAUGGGAUUAGCUAGUGGGUGGGGUAAUGGCUCACCUAGGCGACGGUCCCUAGCUGGUCUGAGAGGAUGACCAGCCCAACUGGAACUGAGACACGGUCCAGACUCCUGCGGGAGGCAGCAGUGGGGAAUAUUGCACAAUGGGCGCAAGCCUGAUGCAACCAUGCCGCGUGUAUGAAGAAGGCCUUCGGGUUGUAAAGUACUUUCAGCGGGGAGGAAGGCGGUGAAGUUAAUAACUUCACCGAUUGACGUUACCCGCAGAAGAAGCACCGGCUAACUCCGUGCCAGCCGCCGCAGUAA
RNAcentral lists this ribosomal RNA (504 nucleotides) under uncultured bacterium. RNAcentral describes it as "partial 16S ribosomal RNA". It matches the Rfam family "Bacterial small subunit ribosomal RNA", at positions 29 to 523 of the family's 1533-position model. The record is from RNAcentral.